This 441-nucleotide ribosomal RNA is filed under the name uncultured bacterium. Its description in RNAcentral is "partial 16S ribosomal RNA". It matches the Rfam family "Bacterial small subunit ribosomal RNA", at positions 338 to 795 of the family's 1533-position model. The record is from RNAcentral.
CCUACGGGUGGCAGCAGUGGGGAAUAUUGCACAAUGGGGGGAACUCUGAUGCAGCGACGCCGCGUGGGUGAAGGCGUAUCUCGGUAUGUAAAGCUCUAUCAGCAUGGAAGAACAAUGACGGUACCUGACUAAGAAGUACCGGCUAACUACGUGCCAGCAGCCGCGGUAACACGUAUGGUGCGAGCGGUAUCCGGAUUUACUGGGUGUAAAGGGAGCGCAGGCGGCGCGUUAAGCCUGGUGUGAAAGCUCGCGGCCCAACCGCGGGACUGCAUUGGAAACUGGCGCGCUGGAGUGCAGUAGGGGUAGGCGGAAUUCCUAGUGUAGCGGUGAAAUGCGUAGAUAUUAGGAGGAACACCAGUGGCGAAGGCGGCCUACUGGACGGUGACUGACGCUGAGGCUCGAAAGCGUGGGGAGCAAACAGGAUUAGAUACCCGGGUAGUC